Brassica napus (rape) is the source of this 4120-nucleotide long non-coding RNA. RefSeq lists it as uncharacterized. The transcript is spliced from 7 exons. NCBI's taxonomy places the organism in Eukaryota, Viridiplantae, Streptophyta, Magnoliopsida, Brassicales, Brassicaceae. The record is from RefSeq and is a predicted model, not a curated record.
AAAUAAACAGUCACAAAAAUCUGAAUGGAUCAUUUCGAUAGAUCAUACAAAUGAAUCAUCUGGAUGGAGAUGAAAAAUGCUGAAACGAACAUCCCCUAAUAGUAGCAACUAGCUUUUGACCCGCGCGGACGCGCAUGUGUAUUUUUUUCAUAAAAUUUAUAGUUUAUAUAUAUUAAAUAAUAUAUAAAAUACAUUUUCCAUAUACAUAUUUGCAGUAUUUUGAAACCGGACCGAAUCGGCUUGUCGGACCGUGACUCGUUCCUCAAAUCGAUUCCCAGUUGUGCUAAAAAUCGUAUUUAACUUAAACCGGCAAAUCUGUGCGUCCGCUAGGGUUUUUGUUUAUUAUUCAUACCAUAUAUAUAUUUUUUAUUCAGACCAUUUUUUAAUUGUAUUGUGUUAUAUAUUUUUCUUAUUGGAUGUGUGUUUCAUAAGUUAGUAAUAUUUAAAAAAAACUAUGUAUUAAUAUACAAUGUGAAUAUAAUUUGUUUUAAAAAAAGAUUGUAUCAAUUUAAAAUUGUAUAUAUUUAUUUUAUAUCAUAUCUAUGCAAUUAUUUUUAUACCACAUAAAUUGAAAAAAUCAAAUAUAAAUUUGUACAUAAAGUAAAGUAUACCUAAAUAUUUUUAUCUGAAAUUUAAUUUGAUAUUGAAUAAUAUUGACCACUUGAAUCUAAAUAUAAUCUAUUGAUUUCAUAAUUAUUAACAUUGUGAUAUACUAUUUUAUUUUAUCAUGCAUUAUCCAUAAAUAGAUUAACAUUAUAGCUCAAAAAAAUAAUUGUAAACAAAGCCCAUUUUCUAACUGUUUAUUCGAGGAAAAGUAAAAAAGAAAACGUGUAUCCAAACUUUCUCUUUAACUUUUUGUCCGUUGGCUUACCUCUCUCUCUUAUAUUGGCUUCGAUUGUCAUCUAUAGAAAAGAGGGAUUGAAGAAUCAAAUCCAUAGUGAAAGCUACUAUUUUAUGUUUAUCAACUUCAUUCACUCAAUUAAUGUAUUUGCCAAGUCAAUUGAUCUAUUUUAUCAAAGAUCUCUAGUCUACAUGAGUAGAUCGGCCAUCACGUUUCGACUGUCAAGACAUGCAAUCAAAAAGUCAAAAUCCACAUUGAUAGAAGACAAUCACCUCCAUGAAGACAGCUUCUCGUGGUAGAAAGAGUGCUGCAGGGUACGACUUGACCUGCUUAAUUUUGGGAGUGAGGGGACUUUGGGAGUCAUAACUGAGAGUCAUUGUUUGAGGAUAGUCAUUGUUUGGCUGUGGCUAUGGAAGGAGAGGUGCAGAGAGGGUCAUUUAUACAAUAUACGACUGAAGGGAGAAGGACAUAAAAUCAAGCUGUCAGAUAUAAAAAAACAUGGGGAAGAGACAAAAGACAUGACCAAAUUCAAGAUAUACAGCUACAAAUGAAGAGAACAACCUUGCUCAGAUAAUUUGACAAUGCACAACGGUUAGUAAUUACUUAUCCAUACUACGAAAUCCAUAGGAUGUCAGAAGAAUGUUGCAUUAUGUAGAAUAAGUUAUAAGAUUGAUAGAACAUGGCCUUAAGUUUAGAUGUUUGGGGAACAUACUUGACCGAUUGAUGCAUAUCUGUGUAUUAUGUAGAUGAUAAUUUUAUAUGAAAAUUUUAUUUUUUAAAUAAUUAGUUUGAGAUGACAAAAGAGAAUGAAUUAUAUGUUGAAAACAAAAGACAGAGAAAUAAAAAAUGUUGUUCAUCUAAACUAUUAAAAAUGUGUUAUGAAGCAUAAGAAAAAGUCAUCAUUCUUCCACCAGAGCACACACGUAUGAUCAUCUUCUACUGAUGUUUUGUAGUUCGAUAUUGACCACAAGCUGAAGUUAGGGAAACAUUUUCAAUAACUCCCCAUUCUCCCGUAGGCAAAUCACGUUGAACUCGGUAUAUGAGAGUUCGUUUGCAAGUAGCAUGGAUCUUUUUAUCCUAAAAACACACACAGUCAUAUUAGAUCCAAGUAAAGCAAAGAAAUGUAAUGAAUGGAAGAAAAGCUACAAAUAAAAAAUUACCCAUGCAUCAGCUAAAACCAUCUCGAAUGAAUCACCUCCAAAAAGUGUGUUUUCGUUGCCAUGAAUGUAAAUACUUCACUUGAACUCGCCGAUUAUUUUUAGAAGGUCUUAGUUUUUUGAGAACGUUAGCUUAGACAUGUUUAGGUUUUCUGGAUGCGUUUUUAUACGGAGGAUAGAUGAGAUAUAUAUAGUCGGCAUAGGGAAGGGUAGGUUUAAUAGGAUCAACUCAUAAUAUUUUGGUAGUUUUGAUUUUAAUGCCAAAUCAAACCAAAUAUAUACAUUCCUUUUAAAUUAUACCAUAAUAAAAACAAAAUAUAUACUUUCUAUAGAUAAGGAAUAUGUGUUUGUCAUGUUUAAAUAAAAGGAAAUUAUAAUUGUGCUAAUUAAUAGAUAUCCUUUUUUGAUAUGGUGAGUGCGUAGAAAUAGGAAAAAAACUUUGGAUGUUGUUUUGUUUUUGAAUAAAGAAUAUUUAGUUAUGAUUUUCUGUAAUUAAUAUUAGGGCUGUUCAAUAUGGCAAAAUAUGGCUGAUAUAUGACUAAAUCAUAUGUCUCCAUUUAUGACUAUAGACAUAUUAUGGCUGAUAUAUGACUAAAUCAUAUGUCUCCAUUUAUGACUAUAGAGCAACUAAAUGUUCGUGACAAAUUCAUAUAAAAAAAGGCAAACAAAAAUAUUUCUAAAUCCCAAAUGAAUUUUUAAACCCUAAACUCUUAACAUAAAUCUCAAAACUCUAAUAUUUUCAUAUUUUAACCUCACAUCUUAAAUUUAAAUAUAAAAUUUAGUAUUUUCAAAUUUUUUUCACAUAUUCUGAAAGUAAACCCCAAACACCCAACCCGUAAGUCACAAAAAAUAAACCUUAACCUUUACAUAAAGUUUCAAAAUUACUAUAAUACACCUAAACUAAUAUCCAAUAUUUAUAAAUUUUUUUUUUCAAAUCUUAUUUAAAAACCUUAACUUCGUAUUUAAAUUUAAAGUCCAAACCCUUUUCUUCAAACUCCAAACCCUUUUCUUCAAACUCCAAACCCUAUAUCAUAAAUUUUAUCUCUAAAUUUGGUUUUUUCAUUUUUAGAACUAUGCAGAUGUGUACUUUAAAUGAAUUAACUUAGAAUUUUAAUCAAACUUGUAAUAAACAUUAAAAAAAUUAAAGAAAUAUCAGGAAUAAAAAAUUCUAUCGUAAGUUUCAAACAAAAAAAAAACAUUCUAUCGUUUGCUGUACAACCAAAAUAAAACUUGCCCCGUCAAAAAAAAAGAAAAUUUCCUAUUGGCUAAUUCAUAAGCACAAGAAUCAAGUUUUUGACCGUCGGAUGAGACUAAAUCAACGGACUAAAGUUAUUAAUUUUUCAGAUCUGCAUAUCUUUUUUUUACCAAACAGAUCUGCAUAUCUCUCGACAGAUUCUCUUAUUUGAUUUCAUCUCCUAAUCUCUUCAUUCUUAAGAUUUCUUCACUGCUAGCCUCUUCAUUCUCUUAACGAUCUCUGCUCCCAUAUCUCUUCAGCUUCGCUACCGUCUCUGUCAAUGGUCGUUCUUUGAUUUUGGUCCAUGUUAAAGAAUCGGAGGAGUGAAGGAGAACCAGAGGAGGAAGGAGAGAGAAGAGAAGGAAGAAAAUGAGAAGGAUGAACCAGCAUGAGAGGUGGAGACAUGAAGGUGUUCCGGUGUACCGUCACAGCGUCCGUUGUCGCUCCGGCAUGACUGUUCAGAUUAUUUAAGAAGAAAGACGAGGAAGAAGAAGAGUAGGAGGAGACGUAAGAAGAGUGGUUUCUCCUGAUGUCUACUUGUUCACUGCAGCGAUUAACGCAUUUUGCAAGGGAGGGAUGGAAUGAGGAUGAGUGGGAGGUAUGAUGAGGCAUUUAUGUGUAAGGAGAGCUAUGGCUUUGGAGACAAAGCGUUGAGUUGCUGAGAAGAUGCAUGCUAAUCAAUUAGGUUUAGUUUUUUUUUUAAUUUGGUUUAGUUUUAUAAACCAAUUUUAAUCUGUAAGUUGGUUCGACUAAAAAAUAUUUGUAAGUUGGUUUUAAUUUAUAAACCAAAUUAGUAAAUCAACUUUAUUUCGUAUGUACUGAAUUUUAUAUUUAAUUUUAACUGUAAGUUUAAAUUUUUCAUAUAAUUAAUUUUAUUUUUGUAAUUCA